CAGCAGCCACGGUAAUACGAAGGGUGCAAGCGUUAAUCGGAAUUACCGGGCGUAAAGCGUGCGUAGGCGGUUCGUUAAGUCUGUUGUGAAAUCCCCGGGCUCAACCUGGGAAUGGCAGUGGAUACUGGACGGCUAGAGUGUGUCAGAGGAUGGUGGAAUUCCACGUGUAGCAGUGAAAUGCGUAGAGAUGUGGAGGAAUACCGAUGGCGAAGGCAGCCCCCUGGGCCAAUACUGACGCUCAUGCACGAAAGCGUGGGGAGCAAACAGGAUUAGAUACCCGGGUAGUCCCUGUCUCUUAUAC
This 301-nucleotide ribosomal RNA is filed under the name uncultured bacterium. RNAcentral describes it as "partial 16S ribosomal RNA". It matches the Rfam family "Bacterial small subunit ribosomal RNA", at positions 509 to 807 of the family's 1533-position model. The record is from RNAcentral.